GAAAUGCGAUAAGUAGUGUGAAUUGCAGAAUUCAGUGAAUCAUCGAAUCUUUGAACGCACAUUGCGCCCUUUGGUAUCCCUUAGGGCAUGCCUGUUCGAGCGUCAUCUAAACCUUCAAGCCCUGCUUGGUGUUGGGUGCCUGUCCCGCCUCCGCGCGCGGACUCACCUCAAAUCCAUUGGCGGCCCCCGCGUCGGCCACGAGCGCAGCAGAAACGCGAACUCGUGAGCCCGUCCGGGCGGCUCCCAGAAGCUACACCCACCCAGUUUGACCUCGGAUCAGGUAGGGAUACCCGCUGAACUUAAGC
This 305-nucleotide unclassified non-coding RNA is filed under the name plant metagenome. RNAcentral's name for it is "partial contains 5.8S ribosomal RNA, internal transcribed spacer 2, and large subunit ribosomal RNA". The stretch from base 1 to 105 matches the Rfam family "5.8S ribosomal RNA", at positions 50 to 154 of the family's 154-position model. The record is from RNAcentral.